GGAUUAGAUACCCUGGUAGUCCACGCCGUAAACGAUGUGCACUAGAUUUGGGGGGUUUGACCCCUUCCGAGUCGCAGCUAACGCAUUAAGUGCACCGCCUGGGGAGUACGGUCGCAAGACUAAAACUCAAAGGAAUUGACGGGGGCCCGCACAAGCGGUGGAUUAUGUGGUUUAAUUCGAAGCAACGCGCAGAACCUUACCCGGGCUUGAAAUCCUGAGAACCUGUCCCAAAAGACGGGGUGCCCUUCGGGGAAUUCAGUGACAGGCGCUGCAUGGCUGUCGUCAGCUCGUGCCG
Molecule: ribosomal RNA, 295 nt
Filed under: uncultured bacterium
Lineage: Bacteria
Description: partial 16S ribosomal RNA
Rfam family: Bacterial small subunit ribosomal RNA
Source: RNAcentral